This 3172-nucleotide long non-coding RNA is filed under the name Cricetulus griseus (Chinese hamster). RNAcentral describes it as "lncRNA (ENSCGRG00015041004.1)". Lineage: Eukaryota; Metazoa; Chordata; Mammalia; Rodentia; Cricetidae. The record is from RNAcentral.
CCGUCUCCACCGGAGCCGGGGCGUGGGGUGUCAGGGACGAGCCGGGGGCGGGGCGUGGGCGGGGCCAGUCGGGCUCGCACCUGGGAGCGGAGGGAUGGAUGCUGCGCUCCUGCGGAGGGCGGGCGAGCCGGUGAGCAUCCCGGGAGCCCGAGGAUGCUGCCCUGCUCGGCCGUCUCCGCCGGAGUCCGGGCGUGGGGUGUCGGACGAGCCUGCGAGCCUGCGACAGCCCACGGCCGUCCCAGCCAGGAUGGACCCUGGGGGAGCAAAGCACCGCUCCCCUCCGUGCACGCGUCUCCCUCCCUCCCUGUCCGUCCGUCCGUCCGUGUGUCUGUCGGCGUGGGCAGAACUGAGGACAGCCGGGAGCACGGUUUCCUCCUGGCUGAGGAGCCUGACUCUGGGCGCGCAGGAACCCUCCUCGUCCUUGGGGUAGCCCUGAGGGGGCGCUUCCCUGCCUGUGUGGAGCUGGGAUGGCCCGGCCGUCGUCACUGUGUCCCUUCCCCGGCAAACGAGGGGUGCAAGGUCAGGGGCUCAACUGCAGGCUUGGCUGUCUUAGUGUAAGGAGCCCAAGAUAGCAAAGCAGAGGCGCCACGCGCGUUACUCUAAGUGAAUUCACAGCCAGGCUCCGGAAACAGGACCCACGCCCCGCCCCGCCCGCCCCGCCCCCGCCCCGCCCGCCCCAGAGGGAGGAGGUCUGCAAGCAAACUCAUCGGACUCCUGCAGAACCCCUUGGGGUGAAGGCGGUGGUGGUAGAAGGGCUGCGCCCCCACCCCGUACCCCUCCCCACCCCCGUCUGUGCGCUGCUUACCGAAUAAGAGGCGCUGUGGCCACGGUUUCAUCUUUUCCCGAAGCCUCGACGUCAGCUGAUAGGAUGGGUGUGAGUUAUAGAGGAUGCAUUUUUGGUUUUUUUUUUUUUGAGGCUUAGAUAAAAUGAAUCGCAGGAUUGCGAAGGUCCUUACAGGUGGGCUGUGUGUGUGUCCCAAACAAGCAAGAAUCAGAAAACGAGGCUACCUACAGCUCAAAACAUUCGUUUGAUUUGUUUCUUCUUUUCACAGCCAGUUCUGCAACCGAGUCCUGUCUAUGUUGCCUUUACAGUGUUUUGCCCCCAAUCUCCUUCCAGUUGCCACGGCCACCAUCCUAACUCAAGACCCCUUGGUUGCUUCUUUGGUUUGUUGUAAUGUCCUCAUACGGUUGUCACCUGUUCGGAUCUGGUCUCUUUACCAACGCUGGGUGCAUAGUUGGGGAAUAACCUCGUGGCUGUGACAGCUCCCAAAGGAAAGCAAACUCGGUGGGAGAAUGACACAGGGUUUGGAAUGUCAGGGAUUAAAUCAGCUGCUCAGCCCUCUCUCACUGUGCCCCAAGUGUAAUUAAAGUCAAAGGAGUAGAGCCGUGGUGGGAGAAAGAGGUAGAGUUAUUUUAUGAUCAUAGAAAAAUAGAGAAUAAAACACAAUCUAAGUACAAACUGUAGUACACAGCCACCUCGCUACUUAAGAACUGUGGUGCCUGUAUCCACACUGACAGCCAAACAAUAUACACAGACUACCCAUGUUCAAAGAUAACACUCUGUGUUUAAUGAUGCAGAAGCCUUUUAGUAGCUUGCUCUUUCUUUCUUUCUUUCUUUCUUUCUUUCUUUCUUUCUUUUUUUGCGAAGGUCUCGUUGUGUAGCUCAAGCUAGCCUGGAACUGGCUAUGUAGACCAGGCUGGCCUCACACCCAUUCCAUGUAAAGAUACGCCUGUGUAGUCUCCCAAGUUCUGAAAUUAAAGGUACUUUAAAGUGGUCAGUGUGCUGGGUGGUGGUGGUGCUUCCUUUAAUCCCAGCACUGGGGAGGCAGGGGCAGGUGGAUCGCUGUGAGUUGGAGGCCAGCCUGGUCUACAAAGUUACACAGAGAACCCUGUCUCGAACCCCCCCCCCAAGAAAAGUGGGGUUUGUAAAACUUAUGUUAACUUUUCUCUGUAUAUCCAUCAGUCAAGCCUUGUCAGGCAAAGAAAAACAAAGAUUCUUGGCUGUUAAAAGGAAAUUUACUAGAGUCCCUUGGCUUCCUUGGGUGGAGGGAACAAUGAAAAACAAAGCACUCUGAGCUUCCUUCCCCCAAACCCCACCCCUUCCAACAAGGUAUUACAUAUUUCCUUCCAAUGGAAGAUGCUAAUUUUAGUAAGAGGAUGGGAAUUGAAAGUUAAAAUACUAUUAACUUCCACACCCUAGAGAGUUACUUUAAACUAAUAGUCUGUGGCUCUGUAUCCAAGCUGGAGUCAACAGAGAGGAAGGAGCCUCAGCUGAGGAAAUGCCUCCAUGAGAUCCAGCUGUAAGGCAUUUUCUCUUUUAGUGAUCAACUCCGGAAGGCCCAGCCUAUGGUGGGUGAUGCCAUCCCUGGGCUGCUGGCCCUGGGUUCUAUAAGAAGGCGGGCUGAGUAAGCCAUGAGAAGCAAGCCAGUAAGCAGUGUCCCUCCAUAGCCUCUGCAUCAGCUUCUGACUCCAGGAUCCUGCCCUGUUUUUGAGUUCCUGUCCUGACUUCCUUCAGUGGUGUGAGAAACUUGCUUUGCAGGCUGGCCUCGAACUCACAGAGAUCUGCCUCCCCGCUUGCAGGUGUGCAGAUAGCAACCUUCAUCGAAAAUGGGAUCCUGGAGUGCAAACUUCUGAUAAUCACUUAGUAUUUCACAGCUGCCCCGAGUAGAAUAAAAGCCUUGAGGUAGACACUUCAAUGUAAUAUAAAGACUUCAGCCUUUUAGAGUCAAAAUAAUUUCAAGUUAGAAAAUCAAAUUUGAAUAGGUUCAGUUUUUUUUUUAAACUGGACAAACUGACUUUAAAUUUCAUAAGAAAAUGGAAAAUGUCAACAAUUGCUAAGACAAUCUUGAAUAAAGUUGAAAGAACCUUUUAACCAUAAGCUGUCAGCAGGAGGAAGAGAAAAAGGAAAGACUUCCUUCUUGCCCUUGCUUAUAUAUGAGUCUGCCUGCUAUGUCACUUCCUGCCUGGAACCCAAGACUUCCUUUUACUACAUUUCCCAGAAUCAUGAGUCUGCCUGCUAUGUCACUUCCUGCCUGGACCCCAAGACUUCCUUUUACUACAUUUCCCAGAAUCCUCCUUGAGUCCUAGUCCCGCCUAACUUGCUGCCUCAUUGGCCAAACAGUGCUUUAUUCAACAACCAGUAAGAAGAUAAACAUACACAGAAUGACCUCCC